RNAcentral lists this ribosomal RNA (429 nucleotides) under Pseudomonadota bacterium. RNAcentral describes it as "Proteobacteria bacterium partial 16S ribosomal RNA". It matches the Rfam family "Bacterial small subunit ribosomal RNA", at positions 355 to 776 of the family's 1533-position model. The record is from RNAcentral. Lineage: Bacteria; Pseudomonadati; Pseudomonadota.
UGGGGAAUAUUGGACAAUGGGCGAAAGCCUGAUCCAGCCAUGCCGCGUGUGUGAAGAAGGUCUUCGGAUUGUAAAGCACUUUAAGUUGGGAGGAAGGGCAGUAAGCGAAUACCUUGCUGUUUUGACGUUACCGACAGAAUAAGCACCGGCUAACUCUGUGCCAGCAGCCGCGGUAAUACAGAGGGUGCGAGCGUUAAUCGGAUUUACUGGGCGUAAAGCGUGCGUAGGCGGCUAAUUGAGUCGGAUGUGAAAUCCCCGAGCUUAACUUGGGAAUUGCAGUCGAUACUGGUUAGCUAGAGUGUGGGAGAGGAUGGUAGAAUUCCAGGUGUAGCGGUGAAAUGCGUAGAGAUCUGGAGGAGUACCGAUGGCGAAGACAGCCAUCUGGCCUAACACUGACGCUGAGGUACGAAAGCAUGGGGAGCAAACAGG